RNAcentral lists this ribosomal RNA (274 nucleotides) under uncultured bacterium. RNAcentral describes it as "partial 16S ribosomal RNA". It matches the Rfam family "Bacterial small subunit ribosomal RNA", at positions 523 to 796 of the family's 1533-position model. The record is from RNAcentral.
AUACGAAGGUCCCAAGCGUUAUUCGGAAUCACUGGGCGUAAAGAGUACGUAGGCGGUUUGGUAAGUCAGGUGUGAAAUCCCGGAGCUCAACUCCGGAACUGCAUCCGAUACUGCCAGACUUGAGUAAUGGAGAGGCAGGUGGAAUUCUCGGUGUAGCAGUGAAAUGCGUGGAUAUCGAGAGGAAGACCAAUGGCGAAGGCAGCCUGCUGGACAUUUACUGACGCUGAGGUACGAAGGCUAGGGGAGCGAAAGGGAUUAGAAACCCGUGUAGUCC